RNAcentral lists this ribosomal RNA (336 nucleotides) under uncultured bacterium. RNAcentral describes it as "bacterial SSU rRNA". It matches the Rfam family "Bacterial small subunit ribosomal RNA", at positions 65 to 422 of the family's 1533-position model. The record is from RNAcentral.
AACGCGCUCAGCAAUGAGCGAGUGGCGGACGGGUGAGUAACACGUGGGAACCUACCCUGAGGUGAGGGAUACCGGCGAGAAAUCGCCGACAAGACCGCAUAGACUUCUCUCGGGAAGCAAAGCCGCAAGGCGCCACGGGAUGGGCCCGCGGCCGAUUAGCUAGCUGGUGAGGUAAGAGCUCACCAGGGCAUCGAUCGGUAGCUGGUCUGAGAGGACGAUCAGCCACACUGGGAUUGAGAACGGCCCAGACUCCUACGGGGGGCAGCAGUGAGGAAUUUUCCGCAAUGGGGGAAACCCUGACGGAGCAACGCCGCGUGCAGGAAGGCGGCCUUCGGG